CGGUGCUAAUACCGCAUGAACUUAUUGAGGUUAGAGGCUGAAUAAGGAAAGGCCAAGAGGAGGAAACGAAACUUGGUCAUCUCGGGAGGGGCCUGCGUCCCAUCAGGUAGUUGGUAGGGUAAAGGCCUACCAAGCCGAUGACGGGUAGGGGACCUGAGAGGGUGGCCCCCCACAAUGGAACUGAAACACGGUCCAUACACCUACGGGUGGCAGCAGUAGGGAAUAUUGCACAAUGGGCGAAAGCCUGAUGCAGCAACGCCGCGUGCCCGAUGAAGGCCUUCGGGUUGUAAAGGGCUUUUCUGAGAGACGAGGAAGGACGGUAUCUCAGGAAUAAGGAUCGGCUAACUACGUGCCAGCAGCCGCGGUAACACGUAGGAUUCAAGCGUUAUCCGAAUUUACUGGGCGUAAAGCGCGUGUAGGCGGUGCUGCAAGUUGGAUGUGAAAUCUUUCGGCUCAACUGGGAGAGGCCGUCCAAAACUGCAGUGCUAGAGUGCGACAGAGGGAGGUGGAAUUCCCGGUGUAGUGGUGAAAUGCGUAGAUAUCGGGAGGAACACCAGGUGCGAAAGCGGCCUCCUGGGUCGCUACUGACGCUGAGAUGCGAAAGCCAGGGGAGCGAACGGGAUUAGAUACCCCGGUAGUCCUGGCUGUAAACGAUGCAGACUAGGUGUUUGGGAGGUAAAACUCUUGAGCGCCGAAGCAAACGCGGUAAGUCUGCCGCCUGGGAAGUACGGUCGCAAGGCUAAAACUCAAAGGAAUUGGCGGGUCCCCGCACAAGCAGCGGAGCGUGUGGUUUAAUUCGAUGCUACGCGAAGAACCUUACCCGGGUUUGACAUGUAGGUGGUAGCGAAGUGAAAGCGGAGCGACCCUUCGGGGAGCCUAGACAGGUGCUGCAUGGCUGUCGUCAGCUCGUGUCGUGAGAUGUUCGGUUAAGUCCGGUAACGAGCGCAACCCUUGCCGUAUGUUACAAGUGUCAUACGGGACUGCCGAUAUAAAGUCGGAGGAAGGCGGGGAUGACGUCAAGUCAGCAUGGCCUUUAUAUCCGGGGCUACACACACGCUACAAUGGCCGGUACAAUGGGCAGCAAGGCAGCGAUGCGGAGCCAAUCCAGAAAGCCGGUCUCAGUUCGGAUUGCAGGCUGCAACUCGCCUGCAUGAAGUUGGAGUUGCUAGUAACCGCGCGUCAGCAGUAGUGCGGUGAAUACGUUCCCGGGGAUUGCACACACCGCCCGUCACGUCAUGGGAGCUGGUAACACCUGAAGUCGGUAUCCUAACCGCGAGGAGGGAGCCGCCGAGGGU
RNAcentral lists this ribosomal RNA (1295 nucleotides) under uncultured prokaryote. RNAcentral describes it as "bacterial SSU rRNA". It matches the Rfam family "Bacterial small subunit ribosomal RNA", at positions 158 to 1463 of the family's 1533-position model. The record is from RNAcentral.